CCUCCGCCUCCCAGCUUCAAGCGAUUCUCUCGCCUCAGCCUCCUGAGUAACUGGAACUAUAGGCAUGCGCCACCAUACCUGGCUAAGAAAUUAACUUUAAUAACAUUUUAAUUAAGCUAACAUAUUUAAAAUACUAUUUCAACAUACAAUCAAUAUUUUUAAUUUACUUUUUUAUUUUUUUGAGACACAGUCUCACCUUGUUGCCCAGGUUGCAGUGAGCUGAGAUCACACCACCGAGCUCCAGCAUGGGCGACAGAGCGAGACCGUGUCUCAAAAAAAAAAAAGCAGGAGUGGGACUGUCUGGUUCCGGCCCGAUCAUGGAAUUCUGGGGACACGGGGUGAA
This 343-nucleotide small RNA is filed under the name Pan troglodytes (chimpanzee). RNAcentral describes it as "sense intronic". Lineage: Eukaryota; Metazoa; Chordata; Mammalia; Primates; Hominidae. The record is from RNAcentral.